ACUGGACCUUAUAUUUUUAAAGCUUAUCCAAACUAGCAGAAAAUACAAGAUUAUCGCAAAUAAAGUAGAUGCUCGUAUGUAUAAGACACACACAAACGCGACUCCAAAUGCACCAACUGACAUAAACAAUGCCGCAAAGCAUGUAUUACUAGCAGCCACGACAGUAGAAGGUAGGGAUUUAGGAAUAUGUCGCCGGCAGGCAAGGCAACCCAACCGCAACUACGGGGAUCCAAACUUGUCAGUACACAAGCGGCGAUGGCAACCUCUGAACGACGCCUCUGCAGCUCUGCUCUUCAUCUCGUUUUGUCCUUAGCCUUCGUGCAGUCGCUAGCUAUCAACGUUGGAGCCUCGUCAGACUCACCAGUGUCCAGUGAGCGGCUCAUACUGCGUCAGCCACAUGACAUCGACUCGCUCUCGCUUGCCUCGGCGUAGCUGAUAGCACCAUAUAUAAGAGCAAUCGGCUCCGAUCCUACUAGUUGCCUUGCUGCUGAUGGCUCAGUUUGCCAUUUAAUCUUGACCAGUCUUGGGGCCUAGCUUUGCAGAUUCUGUUGUGUGUGGCCUGCCUGCAGGAAAACAACGGUAAUGUAACAGUUGCCCUCUUCUCCUCUGCUAGUCCGCUGUGCACAAUGUAACGAAGAUAUAACAUAUACCAUCUUCCAGAGACUAUUGUGUAUAUGCGCGCGCAAAAUUGAAUAAUCUAACAGAGCGACAACAUGAAAGGUGAUUUAAGCUUAAGCCCAACAGCUGAGUUCUAAUGCUACUGUCUUGCUGAGACAAUAUUCUUUUACCGUACAAAGUGUUGAGUUUGUGAUCCAAAUUCUGCAUAUGGAGGACGUGUUGGCAAGCGGAGCGGAGACCUGUCACAGGGAGGCUUGGAACGGAGUACGACACACGGAUUUACGUGGAAAAUCCUUUAAUAAGAAGGGAAAAACCAAAGGGAGUGAACACAAAGCUAAAAAUACUUGGUGGUAGAACGAGGAAAUCCAGAGGGAUAUUAAGAAGAAAGAAUGUUAUAGCCGUUUGUAUCAUAACAAGAGUGUGGACAACAUAGAGAAAUACAAGGUAGCAAAGAAGGUUGUAAAACGAGUUGUAUGUGUGGAAAAGAGUAUAACGUAUGAGGAUCUUUACCAACUUUUAAGUAUAAAGAAAGGAGAGAAGGACAUAUAUAAGAUGGUUAAGAUCCAUGAGAGAAAGACAAGAGACUUCAACUAAGUUAAAUGUAUUGAGGAUAAAACACAAUACCUCUUGAUGAAGGAUGAGGUUAGAUAUAGAUGGUGAGAGUACUUUGACCAAUUAUUCAAUGGGACACAACCUUUUAGUUGAAUGACCCUUUUUGUAUGUAUGAUCCAGGGAUAUGAGGUUAAACAAGCAAUAAAAAGGAGUGAAGGGGUAGUGGUGGUAAGGAGAUAGGCUCUGAUGAUAUCACAAUUAAUGCAUGAAGAAGUCUUGAGAACAUAGCUAUAGCAUAGCUAACCAUGUUGUUUAACUAUAUCUUCUGGUUGAACAACAUGAACGAUAAGUGAAGAAAUAUAUUAGUACCAAUCUACAAGCUCCACUUGAUUAUUAAAUUUAUUCUUAGCGCAUGUUGUGAUCACAGCUCGAGUAUUAUAAUCUCAAUUACCUAUAGGAUUAUUAUAAUCUGAAUUGUGGACUAUAAUAAUCGCAGUGUUUGGAUUCCUGGACUGUCGUUGGUUCAAGUGACAAAUACCCAUAAUCUCCAAAAAGCAGGCCUCAGUUGGAUCAUAGGAUCACAAUCAGAUUAUUUUAGCUGAUUAUUAUAAUCACAAUGGAUCCAAACAUGCACUUAGUUUACUAAUCUUUGAUGGACAUAAAUGUUGAACAUUCUGCGUACAUAAAUCUUUGACAAAGGCAGUUAUCGGUGCUUUAGAGGGUGUUUGGAAGUAAAUUAUUUUUAGAGUUUUAAGGUAAAAUUAUGGUAUUAAAGAAUAUCAUAGUAUCUUUUUCUUAAGAGUUGUUUGACUAUAGUGUAAAAAACUUUGUUUUGAAUACUAUGACUUUAUCGAUAUUAUAGUAUUCUUAGAGUAUUUGAACUCUACACUAACUUAAAGUUUUUGUUAUUGACUAGUCUUGCACAUGUAUAUUAAUACCAUGGUUUGAGAUACCAUGAUGAUAACUAUGCUGGUAAUUAUGUUCACAAUGAUAGGUGCAAUACCUCUGGUGGAGUCCUGAACAGCCGCAUCUUCUCCUUCGUUCUUCGAUUGCAUUUUGCUCUUCUCCUCCGAUAGCUAGCAGCCUGAAGUGCGGGCCGGUCCGUUAGUAAGCCGUAGUAUUUGGUGCCGGUUGGGCAUUCCGUCGAACAGCUCCCGAGCAUCUACCCCCGUCGUUUAACGCCACGAGCGCGCCGCGCGCCCUCAUCUUGACGGGAAGUCGAGAGCCGUUUGGAAUCGGCGAAUCGCCACAGGUGACUUGUUCAUUUUCUCUUUCGCCUCCCCGGCGGACUGACCGGUCAGCGAGGACCAGCACAACCGCACAAGGAGGUUAGCGGUUCAAUUUCAGUUUGUUCUCUCUGGAAAUGGCAAUCUCCACAACGCGAAACCAUUUUUUGUCGGAAGGGGAAGCGAAACGUUUGUU
This 2592-nucleotide long non-coding RNA is filed under the name Zea mays. Its description in RNAcentral is "long non-coding RNA (ZMAY_LNC000039)". Lineage: Eukaryota; Viridiplantae; Streptophyta; Magnoliopsida; Poales; Poaceae. The record is from RNAcentral.